GAUUAUGGCUCAGGAUGAACGCUGGCGGCGUGCCUAACACAUGCAAGUCGAACGGAGUAAUUAAGCGGAAGUUUCGGAUGGAAGCAUAGUUACUUAGUGGCGGACGGGUGAGUAACGCGUGGGCAACCUGCCCUGUACCGGGGGAUAACACUUAGAAAUAGGUGCUAAUACCGCAUAAGCGCACAGCUUCGCAUGAAGGUGUGUGAAAAACUCCGGUGGUACAGGAUGGACCCGCGUCUGAUUAGCUAGUUGGUGGGGUAGAGGCCUACCAAGGCGACGAUCAGUAGCCGGCCUGAGAGGGUGACCGGCCACAUUGGGACUGAGACACGGCCCAAACUCCUACGGGAGGCAGCAGUGGGGAAUAUUGCACAAUGGGGGAAACCCUGAUGCAAGCGACGCCGCGUGAGUGAAGAAGUAUUUCGGUAUGUAAAGCUCUAUCAGCAGGGAAGAAAAUGACGGUACCUGACUAAGAAGCCCCGGCUAACUACGUGCCAGCCGCUGC
RNAcentral lists this ribosomal RNA (502 nucleotides) under uncultured bacterium. Its description in RNAcentral is "bacterial SSU rRNA". It matches the Rfam family "Bacterial small subunit ribosomal RNA", at positions 15 to 518 of the family's 1533-position model. The record is from RNAcentral.